CCUACGGGUGGCAGCAGUAGGGAAUCUUUCACAAUGGGCGAAAGCCUGAUGGAGCAACGCCGCGUGCAGGAUGAAGGCCUUCGGGUUGUAAACUGCUUUUAUAAGCGAGAAAUAUGAUGGUAACUUAUGAAUAAGGAUCGGCUAACUACGUGCCAGCAGCCGCGGUCAUACGUAGGAUCCGAGCAUUAUCCGGAGUGACUGGGUGUAAAGAGUUGCGUAGGUGGCAUAAUAAGUAGCUAGGGAAAUCUGGUGGCUCAACCAUUCAGACUAUUAGCGAAACUGUUAAGCUCGAGACCGUUAGGGGUAACUGGAAUGUCUAGUGUAGGAGUGAAAUCCGUAGAUAUUAGAAGGAACACCAAUAGCGUAGGCAGGUUGCUGGGACGGUUCUGACACUAAGGCACGAAAGCGUAGGGAGCAAACGGGAUUAGAUACCCUUGUAGUC
RNAcentral lists this ribosomal RNA (442 nucleotides) under uncultured bacterium. Its description in RNAcentral is "partial 16S ribosomal RNA". It matches the Rfam family "Bacterial small subunit ribosomal RNA", at positions 338 to 795 of the family's 1533-position model. The record is from RNAcentral.